CGAGUGGACUUGGGAUUUUUGGAAGGAGCCCUCCACAAGAUAGGAUUCGACCAGAGAUGGAUAGGAUGGGUCAUGACAUGCGUUAAGUCAGUGAAAUACACUGUUAGGUGCAAUGGGGUGCUUCUUGAGCCUAUUACCCCCUCACGAGGCCUAAGACAAGGGGACCCCCUGAGUCCAUACUUGUUUUUGUUCGUCGCUGAUGGGCUCGCGAGUCUGCUCAAGAAAGAAGUUGAAGAAGGUAAUAUAACCCCCUUAAAAGUGGCUCGGAGCAGCCCGGGCAUAUCUAACCUUCUUUUCGCCGAUGAUAGUCUGUUAUUAUUCAAAGCUUCAACGGAUCAGGCUAGGAAAGUUAAAAGACGCCCUCACCCUGUUCCAAAAGGGUACGGGGCAAUUGUUGAGCCAAAGCAAAUGCUCUCUCCUUGUCAGUGA
Molecule: ribosomal RNA, 429 nt
Filed under: Triticum aestivum (bread wheat)
Lineage: Eukaryota; Viridiplantae; Streptophyta; Magnoliopsida; Poales; Poaceae
Description: partial small subunit ribosomal RNA
Source: RNAcentral